RNAcentral lists this ribosomal RNA (478 nucleotides) under uncultured bacterium. Its description in RNAcentral is "partial 16S ribosomal RNA". It matches the Rfam family "Bacterial small subunit ribosomal RNA", at positions 28 to 523 of the family's 1533-position model. The record is from RNAcentral.
GACGAACGCUGGCGGCGUGCUUAACACAUGCAAGUCGAACGGUAAGGCCCUUCGGGGUACACGAGUGGCGAACGGGUGAGUAACACGUGGGUGAUCUGCCCUGCACUUCGGGAUAAGCCUGGGAAACUGGGUCUAAUACCGGAUAGGACCACUGCCUGCAUGGGUUGUGGUGGAAAGCUUUUGCGGUGUGGGAUGGGCCCGCGGCCUAUCAGCUUGUUGGUGGGGUGAUAGCCUACCAAGGCGACGAACGGUAGCCGGCCUGAGAGGGUGACCGGGCACACGGGGACUGAGAUACGGCCCAGACUCCUACGGGAGGGAGCAGUGGGGAAUAUUGCACAAUGGGCGCAAGCCUGAUGCAGCGACGGCGCGUGAGUGAUGACGGCCUUCGGGUUGUAAACCUCUUUCAGCACCGACGAAGCGCAAGUGACGGUAGGUGCAGAAGAAGGACCGGCCAACUACGUGCCAGCAGCCGCCGCGG